RNAcentral lists this transfer RNA (76 nucleotides) under Candidatus Poribacteria bacterium. RNAcentral describes it as "tRNA-Met". It matches the Rfam family "tRNA". From Rfam's summary of the family: Transfer RNA (tRNA) molecules are approximately 80 nucleotides in length. Their secondary structure includes four short double-helical elements and three loops (D, anti-codon, and T loops). Further hydrogen bonds mediate the characteristic L-shaped molecular structure. tRNAs have two regions of fundamental functional importance: the anti-codon, which is responsible for specific mRNA codon recognition, and the 3' end, to which the tRNAs corresponding amino acid is attached (by aminoacyl-tRNA synthetases). tRNAs cope with the degeneracy of the genetic code in two manners: having more than one tRNA (with a specific anti-codon) for a particular amino acid; and 'wobble' base-pairing, i.e. permitting non-standard base-pairing at the 3rd anti-codon position. Lineage: Bacteria; Candidatus Poribacteria. The record is from RNAcentral.
GGCGGUGUAGCUCAGUGGCAAGAGCACGCGGUUCAUACCCGCGUUGUCCAGGGUUCAAAUCCCUGCGCCGCUACCA